Molecule: transfer RNA, 85 nt
Filed under: Felis catus (domestic cat)
Lineage: Eukaryota; Metazoa; Chordata; Mammalia; Carnivora; Felidae
Rfam family: tRNA
About the family: Transfer RNA (tRNA) molecules are approximately 80 nucleotides in length. Their secondary structure includes four short double-helical elements and three loops (D, anti-codon, and T loops). Further hydrogen bonds mediate the characteristic L-shaped molecular structure. tRNAs have two regions of fundamental functional importance: the anti-codon, which is responsible for specific mRNA codon recognition, and the 3' end, to which the tRNAs corresponding amino acid is attached (by aminoacyl-tRNA synthetases). tRNAs cope with the degeneracy of the genetic code in two manners: having more than one tRNA (with a specific anti-codon) for a particular amino acid; and 'wobble' base-pairing, i.e. permitting non-standard base-pairing at the 3rd anti-codon position.
Source: Rfam by way of RNAcentral
GCCUGGGUGGCUCAGUCGGCUGAGCGUCUGACUUCAGCUCAGGUCAGGAUCUCACAGUUCACGGGUUCGAGCCCCGCGUCGGGCU